Cavia aperea (Brazilian guinea pig) is the source of this 114-nucleotide small nuclear RNA. The record is from Ensembl. NCBI's taxonomy places the organism in Eukaryota, Metazoa, Chordata, Mammalia, Rodentia, Caviidae.
GUGCUCACUUCGGCAGCACAUAUAGUAAAAUUGGAGCGAUACAGAGAAGAUUUGCACGGCCCCUACACAAGGAUGACACCCAAAAUACAAAAGCUGGGGCUGAAUCAAGUCAUU